AAUUGGUUCAACAAUGAACCAAGAGAGAAACUCUCACCCAAUUUUAUGAAAAUGCCAAAACUUUUUUUUAUUCAAAACAAAAACCAAUACUUAUAGUGUAUCUGAACAAAAAGAUAAAAAUAGACAUGGGCCUUCUAAAUAGUUUGGGCUAAAAUUACAAUAAAUAAAAAUUAGAACUAAAAAACAUAUUUAACUUGGGUCUUCAAAUUAAUCUGGGCCUUCAGCAACAAUUAAUAGUCUUGAUAGUGUCUCUGCCUUUGGGCCUUCAUCCUUUUCCACUUGGACCUUCAUCUUUCUCCACUCGAAGGCUUUGUCCUUCUCCACUUAAGCCUUCGUCCUUCUCCACUUGGGUCUUUAACCUGUAUUUGGCCAGUUUCAUGAUUCUCAUCAUUGUAAUAUCUAACAACUUGUUUAGUCCUUUCUAAAAACUGAUUAUAACGAACUAUUAUGUACCACAGUAUCACUACACUCCUCAUGUUUGAAAAUUGCAUUUUUUUUAUUUAUUUACUUGUUUCCAUUCUCUAAUGCAGGAUUCAAUGGACUGUCAGCUUAUGCGGGGUUUUUUGAAUUGUGUAAACCCCUAAAGGGUGAAAAGGUCUUUGUCUCAACAGCUUCUGGAGCAGUUGGAAACUUGGUAGGGCAAUAUGCAAAGCUUUUAGGUUGUUAUGUUGUUGGUUGUGCAGGGAGCCAGAAAAAGGUGAGGUAACUGAAGUUUAGGAUUUUAAUCUUACUUGAGUUUUCAGCUUAAAUGCCUAACAAUCCAUGAAUUAUUGUCAUAGGUUGCAUUGCUUAAAGAAAAGCUAGGAUUUGAUGAUGCAUUCAACUACAAGGAAGAAACAGAUCUAAACUCCACUCUUAAAAGGUUUGUCAGCUAUGAAGCCUCGAUACAAGAUAUGACACGGGUACAAUACGACACAUAUACGGCAAUAUAACAUUUUUUUUAAAAUUAAGGAUUCAACACGUCUUACGUUAAUAAAAAACUAUAACAAAAAAUAUAUGUAUGCAAAUAUGCAGAUUUCUAUUAUAAAAUUUUAUCUAAUGCAAAAACAGCGGAAAAAGUCAAAACCACAACAUCAUCCCGGAGGCACCUCACAAUAGAAACGCGAAAAGCCAAAAACACCCAAUAGAAACACAGAAAAAGGACGAAAACGGAAACCGCGUCGAAAAGGGAACCUCACCUGAACGAAAAAGAUGCAGAGAAUGUGACCUCGUUGGAGAAAGCGCGAACUGUGGUGACCUCGCCGGAAAACACGAGAACAGGGGUGACCUCGUCGAAUAACGCAAACAGAGAAUUCAGUUGCCGAUGUCCGUCGUCCGGAGCCUGUAGUCCGUCGUGUUGUCGCCGUGCUCUGAAGAGAGGUUGCGUGAACGGAAAGGGUUUUUGGGCGCGAGGGAGUCUAUGCUUGAAAC
Molecule: long non-coding RNA, 1410 nt
Filed under: Glycine max (soybean)
Lineage: Eukaryota; Viridiplantae; Streptophyta; Magnoliopsida; Fabales; Fabaceae
Description: long non-coding RNA (GMAX_LNC001281)
Source: RNAcentral